AGAGUUUGAUCAUGGCUCAGGAUGAACGCUAGCGGCAGGCCUAAUACAUGCAAGUCGAACGGAGUUUAGUAGCAAUAUUAAACUUAGUGGCGCACGGGUGCGUAACGCGUAUGCAACUUACCUUCAACUGGGGAAUAGCCCCUCGAAAGAGGGAUUAAUACCCCAUAGUAAUUAGAUAUCGCAUGGUAUUUAGUUUAAAGCUACGGCGGUUGAAGAUGGGCAUGCGUGACAUUAGUUUGUUGGUGAGGUAACGGCUCACCAAGACUUCGAUGUCUAGGGGUUCUGAGAGGAGGAUCCCCCACACUGGUACUGAGACACGGACCAGACUCCUACGGGAGGCAGCAGUAAGGAAUAUUGGUCAAUGGACGCAAGUCUGAACCAGCCAUGCCGCGUGCAGGAUGACUGCCCUAUGGGUUGUAAACUGCUUUUGUACGGGAAUAAACCCAGAUACGUGUAUCUGGCUGAAUGUACCGUAAGAAUAAGGAUCGGCUAACUCCGUGCCAGCAGCCGCGGUAAUACGGAGGAUCCAAGCGUUAUCCGGAUUCAUUGGGUUUAAAGGGUGCGUAGGUGGACUUGUUAGUCAGUGGUGAAAUCCUGCAGCUUAACUGUAGAACUGCCAUUGAUACUGCAAGUCUUGAGUGUGUUUGAAGUGGGCGGAAUGUGUCAUGUAGCGGUGAAAUGCUUAGAUAUGACACAGAACACCGAUUGCGUAGGCAGCUCACUAAGCCACAACUGACACUGAGGCACGACAGCGUGGGGAUCAAACAGGAUUAGAUACCCUGGUAGUCCACGCCGUAAACUAUGAUUACUCGAUGUUGGCGAUACACAGUCAGCGUCUAAGCUAAAGCGAUAAGUAUCCACCUGGA
RNAcentral lists this ribosomal RNA (866 nucleotides) under uncultured bacterium. RNAcentral describes it as "bacterial SSU rRNA". It matches the Rfam family "Bacterial small subunit ribosomal RNA", at positions 9 to 873 of the family's 1533-position model. The record is from RNAcentral.